UACGGAGGGAGCUAGCGUUAUUCGGAAUUACUGGGCGUAAAGCGCACGUAGGCGGCUUUGUAAGUUAGAGGUGAAAGCCCUGGAGCUCAACUCCAGAACUGCCUUUAAGACUGCAUCGCUUGAAUCCAGGAGAGGUGAGUGGAAUUCCGAGUGUAGAGGUGAAAUUCGUAGAUAUUCGGAAGAACACCAGUGGCGAAGGCGGCUCACUGGACUGGUAUUGACGCUGAGGUGCGAAAGCGUGGGGAGCAAACAGG
Molecule: ribosomal RNA, 254 nt
Filed under: uncultured bacterium
Lineage: Bacteria
Description: partial 16S ribosomal RNA
Rfam family: Bacterial small subunit ribosomal RNA
Source: RNAcentral